Molecule: long non-coding RNA, 436 nt
Filed under: Phoenix dactylifera (date palm)
Lineage: Eukaryota; Viridiplantae; Streptophyta; Magnoliopsida; Arecales; Arecaceae
Description: long non-coding RNA (PDAC_LNC019865)
Source: RNAcentral
CAUGCACAAAAGAUUAAGUUAAUCAGCCGACAUUUUACUAAAGUAGGUCUGUCCUCUCUACAAAAUAAAAUGUACCACUUAAAAUGAAAAGUAUAACGAACAUGUUGACUUUAUAAUUAAGUGUUUCAACACUAAUUUCAAGUCGAAUAGCACUUCUAUCGAAUAUAUAUCCAAUAAGAACUGAUUCUGAAUCAACAUGUUUUAUUGUAACAUCUAAUCAUUGUUAGUAUAAUAAAAUGAUUGUGGUGCCAUUAACUGAAGUGAUCAGAUGGAAACAGUAGUAAAGAAUGCAUUGGGUGCAUUUUCGUAGUGACUUGAUAGCUCAUUUUCACUUUAGACUGUUAAUUAGUGGCCCAAAAAAAAGAAAAAAGAUUGGAACAGUACCAGCAAAUCUGAAGCUUUUAUAUAUACAAGGAUAAUUACAUAGAUAGUCAUA